Molecule: long non-coding RNA, 1081 nt
Organism: Triticum dicoccoides
Lineage: Eukaryota; Viridiplantae; Streptophyta; Magnoliopsida; Poales; Poaceae
Exons: 6
Source: RefSeq, a predicted model, not a curated record
CCCACCUCCGGAUCGGUUCGAAUCUACGCCGGCACCAGCCCACCCCGUGCGCCGCCCAUUCCCACGUACGACGCGGAUGCAGCCUCACCCAAUUGCUGAUCUCCGCCGCCAGCUCAGGCCUUCGCCGGUGACUAUCCGUUCUCCCCCGUCAUCGAUCUUGCCAGUUGGAGCCCCGUCGGCAUCCGUCUUCCUCACCGUCGCGAAGUCGUGGUCCUCACGGACGUCAUCUUCACCGUCACCAAGUUGCAUCCAUGCCGGCGUCAUCCUGUACCCGAAGCUCCGCCGCAUGUUGUGUCGCUACACCGUCCACAAGCAGCUCUCGGCACCAUCCUACAUCUUCAGACUUCCGCCCCGUCAAGCAGGAUAAUGUAGAAGACUUGAGAGACGAGCUGAGUAUGAUGCAUUUGUUCAUGAAGCAAAAAUUCGUUGAAGAGAAAUGGACAAAUAAAAUUGUAACCGUGGGAAGUGAUGAAGUUGAUUUCAGCGGAAGAGUUGUUGGCAGUGACCUACCACAUGAAGAAUCAUAUGACAGUGUGCAUGCUCCACAGAAUGUUAUGCAGAUAUGCAAUAGUUUCUUCACUAGUAAGUUAGCGCCAGAUUUUUCUCAUAUUUAAAAACAAUUGUUCAUCAUAAGUUGCAGGAAUUGCAUCCUAGCAGUUGUGCGAGAACCAAAGAGGGUCACACCAGAUCAUCUUUAAGACAUGAACACAUCGUUGCUAAGAUGCGCACAUUGAAAAGUUUGAUAGGGCUAGUCAAGGUGCAGAAUCAACUUUACCAAGAUGAGCAGUUAACUAGCCAGUUUUUUAGGUCAAAAUACCUAAGACAAUCGCUCCAACAACACCACAAAAGAUUCGUACUCCAACAUGACCACAAGACAUUGAUGUGGGUAUGCUAAGGCUUUAGAGGUGUGCAUUGCAGGAUCCAGGAGCAGCUGCAGAUGGAUUAGUUUUUAAAUGAACAAACAUAUCGAAUUAUGUAUAGAUUUUAGCUUCAUAGGAAAACUUAGUUCUAGUAUGUAGGAAUUUUUCUUAAUUAAUUAUUUUUAUUUUUCAUAUGAAUUUCUGAUUUGAUUCAGUUGUGA